Molecule: transfer RNA, 72 nt
Filed under: Valerianella locusta (common cornsalad)
Lineage: Eukaryota; Viridiplantae; Streptophyta; Magnoliopsida; Dipsacales; Caprifoliaceae
Also listed under: 8 other names
Description: tRNA-Gln
Rfam family: tRNA
About the family: Transfer RNA (tRNA) molecules are approximately 80 nucleotides in length. Their secondary structure includes four short double-helical elements and three loops (D, anti-codon, and T loops). Further hydrogen bonds mediate the characteristic L-shaped molecular structure. tRNAs have two regions of fundamental functional importance: the anti-codon, which is responsible for specific mRNA codon recognition, and the 3' end, to which the tRNAs corresponding amino acid is attached (by aminoacyl-tRNA synthetases). tRNAs cope with the degeneracy of the genetic code in two manners: having more than one tRNA (with a specific anti-codon) for a particular amino acid; and 'wobble' base-pairing, i.e. permitting non-standard base-pairing at the 3rd anti-codon position.
Source: RNAcentral
UGGGGCGUCGCCAAGUGGUAAGGCAUCGGGCUUUGAUCCCGCUAUUCGGAGGUUCGAAUCCUUCCGUCCCAG